Molecule: ribosomal RNA, 1706 nt
Filed under: Salmonella enterica
Lineage: Bacteria; Pseudomonadati; Pseudomonadota; Gammaproteobacteria; Enterobacterales; Enterobacteriaceae
Also listed under: 2 other names
Description: partial 23S ribosomal RNA
Rfam family: Bacterial large subunit ribosomal RNA
Source: RNAcentral
UAAAGCGAUUCAGCGGGUUACGAUUGACGGAGCGAAGCGACGUCAAAGCGUAUACAAAGUCGAGUCGGUUUAAGGAUACGUUCGUUGGGUAGGGGAGCGUUCUGUAAGCCCGUGAAGGUGGCCUGUGAGGGUUGCUGGAGGUAUCAGAAGUGCGAAUGCUGACAUAAGUAACGAUAAAGCGGGUGAAAAGCCCGCUCGCCGGAAGACCAAGGGUUCCUGUCCAACGUUAAUCGGGGCAGGGUGAGUCGACCCCUAAGGCGAGGCCGAAAGGCGUAGUCGAUGGGAAACGGGUUAAUAUUCCCGUACUUGGUGUUACUGCGAAGGGGGGACGGAGAAGGCUAUGUUGGCCGGGCGACGGUUGUCCCGGUUUAAGCGUGUAGGUGUGUGUUCCAGGUAAAUCCGGUUCACUUUAACACUGAGGCGUGAUGACGAGGCACUACGGUGCUGAAGCAACAAAUGCCCUGCUUCCAGGAAAAGCCUCUAAGCAUCAGGUAACAUCAAAUCGUACCCCAAACCGACACAGGUGGUCAGGUAGAGAAUACCAAGGCGCUUGAGAGAACUCGGGUGAAGGAACUAGGCAAAAUGGUGCCGUAACUUCGGGAGAAGGCACGCUGACACGUAGGUGAAGUGAUUUACUCACGGAGCUGAAGUCAGUCGAAGAUACCAGCUGGCUGCAACUGUUUAUUAAAAACACAGCACUGUGCAAACACGAAAGUGGACGUAUACGGUGUGACGCCUGCCCGGUGCCGGAAGGUUAAUUGAUGGGGUCAGCGCAAGCGAAGCUCCUGAUCGAAGCCCCGGUAAACGGCGGCCGUAACUAUAACGGUCCUAAGGUAGCGAAAUUCCUUGUCGGGUAAGUUCCGACCUGCACGAAUGGCGUAAUGAUGGCCAGGCUGUCUCCACCCGAGACUCAGUGAAAUUGAACUCGCUGUGAAGAUGCAGUGUACCCGCGGCAAGACGGAAAGACCCCGUGAACCUUUACUAUAGCUUGACACUGAACAUUGAGCCUUGAUGUGUAGGAUAGGUGGGAGGCUUUGAAGUGUGGACGCCAGUCUGCAUGGAGCCGACCUUGAAAUACCACCCUUUAAUGUUUGAUGUUCUAACGUGGACCCGUAAUCCGGGUUGCGGACAGUGUCUGGUGGGUAGUUUGACUGGGGCGGUCUCCUCCUAAAGAGUAACGGAGGAGCACGAAGGUUGGCUAAUCCUGGUCGGACAUCAGGAGGUUAGUGCAAUGGCAUAAGCCAGCUUGACUGCGAGCGUGACGGCGCGAGCAGGUGCGAAAGCAGGUCAUAGUGAUCCGGUGGUUCUGAAUGGAAGGGCCAUCGCUCAACGGAUAAAAGGUACUCCGGGGAUAACAGGCUGAUACCGCCCAAGAGUUCAUAUCGACGGCGGUGUUUGGCACCUCGAUGUCGGCUCAUCACAUCCUGGGGCUGAAGUAGGUCCCAAGGGUAUGGCUGUUCGCCAUUUAAAGUGGUACGCGAGCUGGGUUUAGAACGUCGUGAGACAGUUCGGUCCCUAUCUGCCGUGGGCGCUGGAGAACUGAGGGGGGCUGCUCCUAGUACGAGAGGACCGGAGUGGACGCAUCACUGGUGUUCGGGUUGUCAUGCCAAUGGCACUGCCCGGUAGCUAAAUGCGGAAGAGAUAAGUGCUGAAAGCAUCUAAGCACGAAACUUGCCCCGAGAUGAGUUCUCCCUGAGACUUAGAGU